RNAcentral lists this ribosomal RNA (1066 nucleotides) under Bacillus amyloliquefaciens. RNAcentral's name for it is "bacterial SSU rRNA". It matches the Rfam family "Bacterial small subunit ribosomal RNA", at positions 48 to 1095 of the family's 1533-position model. Lineage: Bacteria; Bacillati; Bacillota; Bacilli; Caryophanales; Bacillaceae. The record is from RNAcentral.
CUAAUACAUGCAAGUCGAGCGGACAGAUGGGAGCUUGCUCCCUGAUGUUAGCGGCGGACGGGUGAGUAACACGUGGGUAACCUGCCUGUAAGACUGGGAUAACUCCGGGAAACCGGGGCUAAUACCGGAUGGUUGUCUGAACCGCAUGGUUCAGACAUAAAAGGUGGCUUCGGCUACCACUUACAGAUGGACCCGCGGCGCAUUAGCUAGUUGGUGAGGUAACGGCUCACCAAGGCGACGAUGCGUAGCCGACCUGAGAGGGUGAUCGGCCACACUGGGACUGAGACACGGCCCAGACUCCUACGGGAGGCAGCAGUAGGGAAUCUUCCGCAAUGGACGAAAGUCUGACGGAGCAACGCCGCGUGAGUGAUGAAGGUUUUCGGAUCGUAAAGCUCUGUUGUUAGGGAAGAACAAGUGCCGUUCAAAUAGGGCGGCACCUUGACGGUACCUAACCAGAAAGCCACGGCUAACUACGUGCCAGCAGCCGCGGUAAUACGUAGGUGGCAAGCGUUGUCCGGAAUUAUUGGGCGUAAAGGGCUCGCAGGCGGUUUCUUAAGUCUGAUGUGAAAGCCCCCGGCUCAACCGGGGAGGGUCAUUGGAAACUGGGGAACUUGAGUGCAGAAGAGGAGAGUGGAAUUCCACGUGUAGCGGUGAAAUGCGUAGAGAUGUGGAGGAACACCAGUGGCGAAGGCGACUCUCUGGUCUGUAACUGACGCUGAGGAGCGAAAGCGUGGGGAGCGAACAGGAUUAGAUACCCUGGUAGUCCACGCCGUAAACGAUGAGUGCUAAGUGUUAGGGGGUUUCCGCCCCUUAGUGCUGCAGCUAACGCAUUAAGCACUCCGCCUGGGGAGUACGGUCGCAAGACUGAAACUCAAAGGAAUUGACGGGGGCCCGCACAAGCGGUGGAGCAUGUGGUUUAAUUCGAAGCACCGCGAAGAACCUUACCAGGUCUUGACAUCCUCUGACAAUCCUAGAGAUAGGACGUCCCCUUCGGGGGCAGAGUGACAGGUGGUGCAUGGUUGUCCUCAGCUCGUGUCGUGAGAUGUGGGGUUAAGUCCCGCAACGA